CCCUUCUCUGGCUCCCUGACCUCACUGAGGUUGCAGCAGGCCUGGGGGCCUAGGGGAGACAUGGAGAAAGAGACGGGGGAUCCCCUGGCUGGAGCCGACCAACAGAGUAGGCAGUGAUGGCCGGAGAACGGGAUGUCAGAGUAAUGUUUGGCCUCUGGAAACAUCUCUUACAGGACGGCCAGCCAACGUCCACUAGGUAGGACAGCCAUCCGCUGGGAAGAGCUGGAGCCUGCGGGGACCUGGCUGGAUAGGUAUGGGGGAUCCAGGCCAGUGCCCUAGUCCCCGGGCCCCCCAUGGCAGUCCCCCGACUCUAAGCACCCUCACUGUCCUGCUGCUCCUCUGUGGAUAUGCUCACUCUCAGUGCAAGAUCCUGCGCUGCAAUGCGGAGUACGUGUCGUCCACCUU
Myotis davidii is the source of this 405-nucleotide long non-coding RNA. RefSeq lists it as uncharacterized. The record is from RefSeq and is a predicted model, not a curated record. The transcript has 3 exons. NCBI's taxonomy places the organism in Eukaryota, Metazoa, Chordata, Mammalia, Chiroptera, Vespertilionidae.